This 710-nucleotide ribosomal RNA is filed under the name uncultured Gammaproteobacteria bacterium. RNAcentral describes it as "bacterial SSU rRNA". It matches the Rfam family "Bacterial small subunit ribosomal RNA", at positions 54 to 744 of the family's 1533-position model. Lineage: Bacteria; Pseudomonadati; Pseudomonadota; Gammaproteobacteria. The record is from RNAcentral.
CAUGCAAGUCGAGCGGUAACAGACAUAAAGAUUCAGCUUGCUGAAUCCGGUGCUGACGAGCGGCGAACGGGUGAGUAACGCGUAGGAAUCUACCCAGUAGCGGGGGAUAGCCCGAGGAAACUCGGAUUAAUACCGCAUACGCCCUGAGGGGGAAAGGGGGCAGUUUACUGCUCUCACUAUUGGAUGAGCCUGCGUAAGAUUAGCUUGUUGGUAGGGUAAUGGCCUACCAAGGCGACGAUCUUUAGCUGGUCUGAGAGGACGAUCAGCCACAUUGGGACUGAGACACGGCCCAGACAUCUACGGAUGGCAGCAGUUAAGAAUAUUGGACAAUGGGGGCAACCCUGAUCCAGGUAUACCGCGUGUGUGAAGAAGGCCCUAGGGUUGUAAAGCACUUUAAUCAGAGAAGAAGCAAUUUAAGUUAAUACCUUAUUUUGUUGACGUUACCUGAAGAAUAAGGACCGGCUAACUCCGUGCCAGCAGCCGCGGUAAUACGGAGGGUCCAAGCGUUAAUCGGAAUUACUGGGCGUAAAGCGCGCGUAGGCGGUUUAGCAAGUUGUAUGUGAAAGCCCUGGGCUCAACCUAGGAACUGCAUCCAAAACUACUAAGCUAGAGUACGAGAGAGGAGAGUAGAAUUUCUGGUGUAGCGGUGAAAUGCGUAGAUAUCAGAAGGAAUACCAAUGGCGAAGGCAGCUCUCUGGCUCGUCACUGAC